GAUGAACGCUGGCGGCGUGCCUAAUACAUGCAAGUCGAGCGAACAGACGAGGAGCUUGCUCCUCUGACGUUAGCGGCGGACGGGUGAGUAACACGUGGAAAACCUACCUAUAAGACUGGGAUAACUUCGGGAAACCGGAGCUAAUACCGGAUAAUAUAUUGAACCGCAUGGUUCAAUAGUGAAAGACGGUUUUGCUGUCACUUAUAGAUGGAUCCGCGCCGCAUUAGCUAGUUGGUAAGGUAACGGCUUACCAAGGCAACGAUGCGUAGCCGACCUGAGAGGGUGAUCGGCCACACUGGAACUGAGACACGGUCCAGACUCCUACGGGAGGCAGCAGUAGGGAAUCUUCCGCAAUGGGCGAAAGCUUGACGGAGCAACGCCGCGUGAGUGAUGAAGGUCUUCGGAUCGUAAAACUCUGUUAUUAGGGAAGAACAAAUGUGUAAGUAACGAUGCACGUCUUGACGGUACCUAAGCAGAAAGCCACGGCUAACUACGU
RNAcentral lists this ribosomal RNA (496 nucleotides) under uncultured bacterium. Its description in RNAcentral is "partial 16S ribosomal RNA". It matches the Rfam family "Bacterial small subunit ribosomal RNA", at positions 28 to 506 of the family's 1533-position model. The record is from RNAcentral.